UGUUGGAAGCUAAUGGGAAUCAUGCAAAUCAAAUGCUAUAUGAAUUUAAAAGUUACGUUUCGGAAAGACUCUAACCAGGCUGUACUGGGAGUCAAAAACCCCUGGAAGAAGUCAAUGGCAGAUCACUACCAUACUGUUGUGAAAUAAAUUUCAUGGAUGCGUUGAGCUUCACUUGAAGAAGAUUUUGGCUACACUGAAAAUUCUUCUGCCUAGCAGAACUUGAUACUGCUGUUCCCCCCAUCCGCAUCCCCCUAAUCAAACAACACAUUAUUUGUCCAGGACAGAAAAUCAAAACUAUUAAACCAUUUACAAUGCA
Non-coding RNA from Python bivittatus (Burmese python), 316 nucleotides. Lineage: Eukaryota; Metazoa; Chordata; Lepidosauria; Squamata; Pythonidae. The record is from RefSeq and is a predicted model, not a curated record.